RNAcentral lists this long non-coding RNA (1848 nucleotides) under Sus scrofa (pig). RNAcentral's name for it is "lncRNA (ENSSSCG00065018428.1)". Lineage: Eukaryota; Metazoa; Chordata; Mammalia; Artiodactyla; Suidae. The record is from RNAcentral.
AGACUAUUUCAUCAAGCAAAAGGAAUUCUGGUUUGUAUAUCCUGAGUCUAUGUCUCUCAUUAGGUUUCAGGCAUUCAGUAUAAACUAAGAGUUUGUGUCUUAAGCUAUCAAUAAGCUAUUUUCCAAAUCUAGACAAAAAUGGGACCCAGGGCCAUCACUGGGAAAAGAUACAGUUCAAAUGUCCUUAACAAAUCGCCUUGUCACCUUUGUGAGCUCCCAUUGCAGAAUCAAUUCAGCUAUAUUAUCGCCUAAUACCGGUUCCUAUACAUCAAAGACCUAAAGCAGAACACAGCUUAAGCUGCAGAGACUGACUCCCCACUCCUGCUGCCCUAGGUGAAGGAUGUAAAUGGGUGUGCCUCUUGAAUUAAGAUGGAAAGCUGGCUUUAAACCACUUGGACUGAGCCAGCUUGCAGCAAACUAUGGGGGAACUGAAGAAUCAACAUGGAAGUCACUUUCAAACAUGCAGAAAUGGAUCCCACCAAUGAAAUGCAAAACAGUGGAAGGUAUUAUCUCUUGACUUUGGCAAUGGAUGUGUUGGGGAAAGGGCUCAGGCAGUGCCAGGAGCAUCAAACGGUGAAGACUAGAACCCCACAGGUGGAGGAACUGGCAGCAUAUGGAGAGGUGUGCUUGGGCCAGGUGUGGCCAGACAUAUCAAGUCCUGCAGUUGCUGUGAUCCUGCAGAGAGCUCACUCUCCAAGGGCUCAGGCUGAGCUGUCCUCCAGGUCUGGGCUUAGUAGAGAAUUUGAGAGUGUCCAGGACCCAAGCACCCUCUAGUUUGCUGCUCCACCAUCUUGAGGAUGCUACACUGCAUGGUCCGAGAAGGCUCAGCACCGUGUCUACAUUCUAGUCACUAAGAGAAGGGAAGGAAGGGAGGAAGGAUAUAUAUAUCCCAUUCCUGUAAGUAGUAUGUAUAACAUUGCUAGCAUCUCACUGACCAGAAGUAUCACCGCAUCUCAUGGCAAAGGAGGUUAGGAAAUGUGAAAUCUUUUAAAUCUACAUAUAGCCAUGUGUCUAAUUAAAAAUUAUAUUACUAUGGAAGAAGGGAGGUAUGGAUAUUAGGAGAUAACUUGAAGACUCUGCCACAGUCAGUACCUUUAGAACAAUUCUCUUGGGCUAGUGAAAUCCCACAGAAAAGAUUCUUCCUAAAUCUUGACUAGAAAAUUAUAAGCCUAGUUGUCAGAGUUCUAGGCAUUGAAUGAGACGAAAAAUUGGGAUGGGCUAGUGCUUGUAGUGGUGACUGGGUCUCAUGAUAUAAUGUGUAAAGUUUUAUUCACUCAUGCCACACAUUAUCUCAUCCAAAGACCAGCUCUCCAGAAGCAAUCUAGAUUUUGGCUCAGGGUUUGGAGGUUAGCUGACUGGGUUCUUGAACAGUAAAUUGUUUUUCUGCAUGAGUGAGAGGGCUGCAAAUCUAAUUUUCAACUAAUCUUUGUGUUUUCAGUCCCCUUUUCACUGCUAGUUCCAGAGAUAGUUGUCUCCAGCUUCUUAGUAUAAUAGAAAUUGGGCUGCUUCUCAGAUUUCCUCACUCUUAACUUAGGAUUAAGCUUUCUCAAGUCCCCUAAGUCAUUAACCACUUAUUCAUCUGCUCUAUAGCUUCUAAAAUUUUGUUUUUAUUGACUUCUCACCCAUGUUCUCUGUCUGAUAGGUUUAAACUUAAAAAAAAUUGCUUACUUUUCUUAGUGGGAAGAAACAGAAAUAACUGGAGAGAGUCAACCCAUCAUCUUUAACCUAAAAUAUAAAUUGUUCUUUACAGCCAUUUAUUUUAAUACCUCACUACUUUUAUUCUCAGAACAUCUAUUAACAUUUCCCAUGGAAAAUAAAAGACUGAUGAGAUGAUGAUGGUGAUAUGAA